GAUGAACGCUAGCGACAGGCUUAACACAUGCAAGUCGAGGGGCAGCAUACUAAUCAGCUUGCUGAUUAUGGUGGCGACCGGCGCACGGGUGAGUAACGCGUAUGCAACCUACCUAUCAGAGGGGGAUAGCCCAUCGAAAGAUGGAUUAAUACCGCAUAAAACAGGGGCCUCGCAUGAGGAUAUUUGUUAAAGAGAUUCGCUGAUAGAUGGGCAUGCGUUCCAUUAGUUAGUUGGUGAGGUAACGGCUCACCAAGACAUCGAUGGAUAGGGGUUCUGAGAGGAAGGUCCCCCACACUGGUACUGAGACACGGACCAGACUCCUACGGGAGGCAGCAGUGGGGAAUAUUGGACAAUGGGCGCAAGCCUGAUCCAGCCAUGCCGCGUGAGUGAUGAAGGCCUUAGGGUUGUAAAGCUCUUUCACCGGUGAAGAUAAUGACGGUAACCGGAGAAGAAGCCCCGGCUAACUUCGUGCCAGCAGCCGCAGUAAAAC
Molecule: ribosomal RNA, 490 nt
Filed under: uncultured bacterium
Lineage: Bacteria
Description: bacterial SSU rRNA
Rfam family: Bacterial small subunit ribosomal RNA
Source: RNAcentral